GUGUUUUACAUUCUGACUGCAUGGUCCUCCAUACACUUGAAUAAGCAGUGGGUACUUCUUGGAUCUAUCAAAUUGUGGGGGUAUAAGCAUUUUGUACCACAAAGUUAUACCAUCCACUUCAAGUUUAUUAAUUUCUUCUUUUGGCAGUAUGAUCUCUUGCAAAGCAGACUGCAAUUCUUGAUUGUCCUCUAAUAUUCUGAGCUCUCUAUCACUCUCAUUCUCAAAAAGAGUAGAAAUAGGAA
RNAcentral lists this long non-coding RNA (242 nucleotides) under Gallus gallus (chicken). Lineage: Eukaryota; Metazoa; Chordata; Aves; Galliformes; Phasianidae. The record is from RNAcentral.